ACAGUGCAAUGGUGGCCUUCGAGGCGUCUUGCCCCCUUGCUCAGCAGCUGCCUCUCUCAUCUGAAAAGAGGGAGGCGCGUCUUCUGGUGCUGGUGACUUGCCCAAGAGUGCGGGACCAAAAGAACGGGACUUUCUGAGAUCCACUCAGAAGCCAGCAUGGCUUCUGCAAUUCAGGGAUGUCCCACUCAAAUUGGGACAGUUGAGUGGUAUGGCAUUUUACUAUACUUUGCAUGUGUUAAAAUAAAAAGGGGAUUAAAAGAAAGACUUCCCCACCCCCAUUGUCAUUCAUUGUCAAAACAGCAGGUGCUUACAGUGGAGAGCACCUCUCUUUGGAGAAUAUAAGUCUGAACACCCACAUUCUUUUUUCUUCUUGUGAUCAAAAGAUGGAUCUUAGUUAUUCUGUUUGUUCAGUUCUGGACCUCUAAAUUUGGAAACAGAUCACAAUUUUGCCAUAAUAUGAAGCAGAUGGCAUUCAGACUGUAAUCUACUGGAAACUGAGCUGAACCAUCAAAUUCAUUUUGAUUGUAAUCCCAAACAGUUGAAACACAGUUCUACAAAGGAAAUUUAAAUACAUUUAAGCCAGUCAAGGUAUUUUCAUUUUCUUGUGUGUUCCGUAGGUAUCUCAACGGGGGGAGGGGGAGAGAGAACUUGGUAGUUAAUACCUUUUACUUUAUGGAAGUUCUUUUUAAAUAAGUGACUGAAAGGCAGCUUAACCCCUUUGAACAUUUCUACAUUUGAAGCUAUAAGGACAUAAGAACUGCUUUGCUGGAUCAGACCAAGAGUCCAUCUCAUCUAGCACUCUGUUUUAAACACUCAGCCUUUAGAAACUCACGAAGCAGGAUAUGAAGGCAACAUGAAUCCGCUGCAAUUUGUCCCCUGCAUCUGGUAAACAAAGGGAUAUUGCCUCUGAACAUGAAAUAACACAGGGACCAGUUUUAUAGCUUGGUUGUACUACUCUUAUUUAUAAAUAAAUAAAUAAAUGCCCUUCGUUAGCAUUUCAAAAUAUUAUCCUUAAUUACUCCGUAAAAUGAGCAUGUAAUUGUGAUGUAUGGAAAUGCAAAUUACGAUAUUCUGCUAUUUCACUUUGUACAUUAGUAAACGCCAAGCAGCUUAUUUUUAUGCCUUUUUUACAGUCUCCCCAUGACAUGUAUUCUGCCAGAUAAUAUGAAUCUUGUUUGAGUUCAAAAGUAGCCACAGAUUAGCAAUAUUCAUGAAAGACGUAAACACACAUUUGAGUUGGAGCUUAAUUUCUCUUCAGACAGGAUCACAUGCUUUGUUCAGAAACUGCACUGUGUUACAAAUUCCAAAGUGGAAACAGAAUGCCUUAUUUGAAAGUGAUUUUUUCCUCCAUGUAGCCUAGAAUGCUUACCCCCAUAAUUAUCAUUAAAAGCUUAUAUAAUUACAUAUUGCAAGUAUAGCUGGAACAAGUCAAUGCAUUGAAACACUCUCUCUCACCUGUGAUUAUUCUUGUAACAGACUCAGUUCAAUAAUGCUCUUCCAAAUUACAAUACUUAAGAACACUUUAUACCUGACAUUUUUCAGACCAUUUCAAUGUUUAGCAAAACAGCCCACAACAAAGGGAAGGAGCUCUGAAGGAGCAGGCAUGAGGCUUGAGGGAACUCCAGGCUCCACUGCUGUUGCUUCAGGCUCAGGGGGUCUCUCUAGGGCAGAAUGCCUUCCAUCAGCCUUGACUGGUGGCAAAAAAGGCACAAAUUACUGGUAUUGGUAACAAAUAAAACACAUUUCAAAAGCUUUUUAAGAACCCAGAGCUAGCCGUUCAUAAAAGUGUCUUACCCAAGUGUUACAACUGAGCUUUUCCUAAAGACAGGACUGAGUCUAAACCUUAAUGAGUCUACUUUUAAACUUAUAUGGAUCAGCAAUAAUAUCUAAUCUAAAAAAAACGUCCUGGCUCAUCACUCUCAAGUGAUAAAUUGUCUGAAGUCCAGUUUUGUCAUCUAUAUGUCAGCAUUUUCUGAACAAUGGGUUUCCACCAAAUUUCAUAACAAAAUAUGUGACUACAGGUCAGGGAUGAGUUGCCUACCUAAUAAGCCCCCAAUAUAACUGCUUUAAAGCUCCAAAAAGAUUUCCCCUAUGUGAUCAACUUGUCACGUCCGCAUACAAUAUUAAGCAAUAUCAGCUAUAAAUGUGACUAAGGCUUUCCUGUUCCCAAGGUAUUUUAAGGUAGCGUUUGGUUUUACGUUACUGUUUUUUAUUCUCCCAUUUACUAGGGAGUGUUUUUAUGUACACUUACAAAUGCAAAUAAUUAAGCAGUAUAUAAAUGUCUGAAGUAAACAGGCAAACCCACACUCCUUCCUCUUGAGCCUUGCUCUUAUUUAGGUAGGAAUGACGCAUGUGAACAAAUAACUAUGUUGGCAGAUAAAAAUCACCAAGCUGAGAGUUCAGAGGUAAAAGAUACAGUGAGCUGCAGAGGCUGGCAUGGAAAACUGAAAAACUGAAGCAAUAAAAAAAGAGCAUGAAAUAAGAGAAGAGGGGGAGGGAGAAGCAAAGGCCAGGUGGUCCCUUUUAAAAUGUCUGUUUUUGUUUAGAAUCACAGUCUUAGGAAAUGAUGAUAAAAAUACUUAAUGCUGUUUUAAGGGUGAAAUAACUUUGAAUUGUUAAUCAAAUUUAUAUUGUUGCUGGUGAAAUCAGCCUCAGCAAUGAAUAUUUGAUUUCUAUACAAAGUAAUAGCAUACCCUCCAACAUUUCUCUGAUGAAAAUAGGGCCAUCCUAUUCCAUAAUAACAAUUUUACUAUUUAUACCCCAUCCAUUAGACUGGGCUGCCCCAGCCGCUCUAGGCAGCUUGUAACAUAUACAAAAACAUUAAACAUUAAAAAAACCUUCCCUAUAAAGGGCUGUCUUCAGAUGGCUAAGGGGUUGGAUAACUCCAUAUCCUGCGCCGUUUCUCCAAUGAAAGUGGGGAUGUCCUAAGGAAAAGCGGUAUGUUCCGGGAUCAAAUCAGAAACUGGGACAGUUUUUGUAAAUCCAGGACUGUCCCUGGAAAAUUAGGGACAAUAGGAAGGUCUGUAAUAGGGAAGGUUGACCCAUGCAACACGGAAACAUCAGGUGUUGGUUUACAUUUGCAACUGAGCCAUUGGGUCAUUUCCAGAGUAGAGACAAAAAGAAAACAAAGGCAACAUGAAUGGACAUGUCAUUUGGGCUUUGCAGAGAGAUAAUGGUGGACUGACAUAAGUUACGUAAACAGAAAUAACAAGCAACUGAAAAUCAACACAUCGGCCCCAGUUCCCCGGGCAGCUUUCAGAACUGAGAUCCAGCCUGUGACCCACCCCAUUCAACUUAAUGAAACAUUGGGUUGCAAAGGAUUCAGUGCACAGGAUUUGCCAUGAUCUCUGAAGAUGUUUGUGUAUUUGUUGUUGUUGUUUAGUCAUUUAGUCGUGUCCGCCUCUUCGUGGCCCCAUGGACCAGAGCACGCCAGGCACUCCUGUCUUCCACUGUCUCCCGCAGUUUGUUCAAACUCAUGCUGGUAGCUUCGAGAACACUGUCCAACCAUCUCGUCCUCUGUCAUCCCCUUCUCCUUGUGCCCUCCAUCUUUCCCAACAUCAGGGUCUUUUCCAGGGAGUCUUCUCUUCUCAUGAGGUGGCCAAAGUCUUGGAACCUCAGCUUCAGGAUCUGUCCUUCCAGUGAACACCCAGGGCUGAUUUCCUUCAGAAUGGAUAGGUUUGAUCUUCUUGCAGUCCAUGGGACUCUCUAGAGUCUCCUCCAGCAUCAAAAGCAUCAAUUCUUCAGUGAUCAGCCUUCCUUAUGGUCCAGCUCGCACUUCCAUACAUCACUACUGGGAAAACCAUAGCUUUAACUAUACGCACCUUUGUCGGCAAGGUGAUGUCUCUGCUUUUUAAGAUGGUUUUUGUUGCUGCCUCCUAUAUAAUGUUUGUGUAUAAUUCUCAACCAAAAAACUGAGAAUCGGCAGCACCCUUUUUGCCACCUUCUGUCCUGCUGCCAGGGCACUGAAACACUGGGAGGUAUACUUCAUAGAAGAAUAGAAUUGGGAGGGACCAUUAGGGUCAUCUAGUUUAACCACCCACAAUGCAGGAAUCUUGUACUAUAUCGAUCCCUCCAGUGUUAUUUUGGAAAUAUUUUUGUUGAAAAUGUCCAUUCGUCGUCGUCUUCUUCUUCUUCUUCUUCUUCUUCUUCUUCUUCUUCUUCUUUUGUCAAUGUGAUGGUACAUUUUCUUUCCUGCCCAUUUUAAAAGAAACAGAGCUGUUUUCUAGAUCCCCUGCCUAAGCUGAGAUGAGCUAUGUGCACAGGUGGUUAAAUGUAUUAAGAGGAUGCCUUAUGGCUCCUUUUCUUGCUCAGCUGUAAUCAGUGCAGAAAAAGCGGGGAGGGGGGACAAUUUAAAAGGGAAAAAAAAUGAAUCAGUUCAGCAAUUGUCAACAUCUGUGAGGAAAAAAUACUCAGUAGAAAAAACCCAGCUGACAAGAAGAAUUAGCACAGACAGGAAGUCUCUUCACUUUCAUUCUGAUAGAAGAAAGAGGAGAGACUCAUGAUGCAAGCAAUAUGCAUUUGUCAAUAUUUCAGCAAAAAUGCUUUGUGUAAACCCCAUCAAUUUCUUAUGACAUGUAUGCAUGUAUGUACUGAGGCUUCAAGCCUGCGUCCUGCUGAAUCUAAGGGGCUCAGGAUAGGGAUAAUUGCUGCCAUUCUUGUUCUUGAUAAUAAUUCAUUUACAGCAUAGCAGGGGGUUGGACUAGAUGACCCUCGGGGUAACUUCCAUCACCACAACUCUAUGAUUCUGUAGCAGGGCAUCCUGCACAUUUUAAUUCAGAAGUAAAUCCCACUUGUUCAGUGGUGCUUACUCUCUAGUGUUUAAGAUGCAGCUUAAAUAGAUCACUUCAUAAAAUAGAUAAUAAUUCUAAGAAUAUCUGGAAUUCUUGAAUCUACAGAAAUAUGUAAGGGCAAAUGUGGACAUUCUCCUUGGGCAAAAUAAUCCAG
Molecule: long non-coding RNA, 4944 nt
Filed under: Podarcis lilfordi (Lilford's wall lizard)
Lineage: Eukaryota; Metazoa; Chordata; Lepidosauria; Squamata; Lacertidae
Source: RNAcentral